GAGUUUGAUCGUGGCUCAGAUUGAACGCUGGCGGAAUGCUUUACACAUGCAAGUCGAGCGGCAGCGCGGGGCAACCUGGCGGCGAGCGGCGAACGGGUGAGUAAUGCAUCGGAACAUGUCCAUGUCGUGGGGGAUAGCCCGGCGAAAGCCGGAUUAAUACCGCAUACGCCCGAGAGGGGAAAGCCGGGGACCGCAAGGCCUGGCGCGAUUGGGUUGGCCGAUGUCCGAUUAGCUAGUUGGCGGGGUAAGAGCCCACCAAGGCGAUGAUCGGUAGCUGGUCUGAGAGGAUGAUCAGCCACACUGGGACUGAGACACGGCCCAGACUCCUACGGGAGGCAGCAGUGGGGAAUUUUGGACAAUGGGGGAAACCCUGAUCCAGCCAUUCCGCGUGAGUGAAGAAGGCCUUCGGUUGUAAGCUCUUUGU
RNAcentral lists this ribosomal RNA (424 nucleotides) under uncultured beta proteobacterium. Its description in RNAcentral is "bacterial SSU rRNA". It matches the Rfam family "Bacterial small subunit ribosomal RNA", at positions 9 to 438 of the family's 1533-position model. Lineage: Bacteria; Pseudomonadati; Pseudomonadota; Betaproteobacteria. The record is from RNAcentral.